Oryzias melastigma (Indian medaka) is the source of this 1075-nucleotide long non-coding RNA. RefSeq lists it as uncharacterized. The transcript has 2 exons. The record is from RefSeq and is a predicted model, not a curated record. NCBI's taxonomy places the organism in Eukaryota, Metazoa, Chordata, Actinopteri, Beloniformes, Adrianichthyidae.
GAUCACUUUAAAGAUUACUUUGAAAGAAGAAAUGGGGUUCAGAGAGAGGAAGAAGAGGAAGUGGAGAGGCUGAGCGCGCUCCGUCUGACCGCCGGGACUCUGUGGGAACUCUAAUUAUUAUCAGCAGAGGGACAAAGUUUGCUCACGGCUUUGUUCAAAUAUUGAAAACGACCAUGUCACCGCACAUGCCAGCUCCACAUGAAGAACUGUCCUACAUUGGUAUUCUCCUAUGAACAAUUAAUGUUAGAUUUCUUCAUCAUGGCAGGCCACCAAGUUCUCCAUUAAAGAGAAGAACUGUCACUGGAUCUCUGGCUCUAUUUACAUUUCAAAAGUGGGCCGUCACUCCACAUCCAUGUCAGCCCGCGAGCCACGCCGCCGUCCUCUGAGCCGCCCUUUUUUUUCCCCCUUUCGCGGCUUCUAUACUCUGGAGGUGGAGCAAUGAGACCCCAAAUCCUUCAUCUGGGAGCUAAAAACAGGAAUCCUCGUGAGAGAGCUGAUGAAAACUCCGGAGGACUGAUGGAGCGGAGGGCAAAUUUCACACCCUCCAGCCUGGAUGUCCAAUAUCCUGUGGCUGAUCUCCCUUUUGGCCCCGGCAACAGCAAACAGAUGUGCCAGUCGGGUUCAGAGGAGGAUCCGGCUUGGCUGCUUGACCCGAGAAAACGAGCCGCCUCCCACCUGAGAGGCUCCACAGACCCUGACCCCGCUUUUGAGGUAAAGCUUCCUGCCAAGCUCGUGUGGCCGUGGGGAGGAAUUCCUAGCAUGCCUCACGUGAGAAGAAAAACCACGUUUCGCAGGCUGAAAGUCUGACUCACCUUCAAACAGAAACUACUCUUUUUUUGCUCCUUCAGAACACACUGAAAACGUAAAAAUGUCUGGUAAUUAGAUUUGUUUCUGAGCCACAGUUGUGCCAACACAUCACAAAAUACAAGUUUGUUAUGGGUUAACUUAGGAGUCAUCCUGCUUUAAUCUAAUCCUCCAGUGUUUCUGCAGCUAAAUGAUACAAAAACUGAUGAAGUUGGAACAUGCUUUCAGACAUGAAUACUGACUUUCCCAAUUAAAAUCUAUCUUGUUUCAA